AGCUUGCUCCCUGAUGUUAGCGGCGGACGGGUGAGUAACACGUGGGUAACCUGCCUGUAAGACUGGGAUAACUCCGGGAAACCGGGGCUAAUACCGGAUGGUUGUUUGAACCGCAUGGUUCAAACAUAAAAGGUGGCUUCGGCUACCACUUACAGAUGGACCCGCGGCGCAUUAGCUAGUUGGUGAGGUAACGGCUCACCAAGGCGACGAUGCGUAGCCGACCUGAGAGGGUGAUCGGCCACACUGGGACUGAGACACGGCCCAGACUCCUACGGGAGGCAGCAGUAGGGAAUCUUCCGCAAUGGACGAAAGUCUGACGGAGCAACGCCGCGUGAGUGAUGAAGGUUUUCGGAUCGUAAAGCUCUGUUGUUAGGGAAGAACAAGUACCGUUCGAAUAGGGCGGUACCUUGACGGUACCUAACCAGAAAGCCACGGCUAACUACGUGCCAGCAGCCGCGGUAAUACGUAGGUGGCAAGCGUUGUCCGGAAUUAUUGGGCGUAAAGGGCUCGCAGGCGGUUUCUUAAGUCUGAUGUGAAAGCCCCCGGCUCAACCGGGGAGGGUCAUUGGAAACUGGGGAACUUGAGUGCAGAAGAGGAGAGUGGAAUUCCACGUGUAGCGGUGAAAUGCGUAGAGAUGUGGAGGAACACCAGUGGCGAAGGCGACUCUCUGGUCUGUAACUGACGCUGAGGAGCGAAAGCGUGGGGAGCGAACAGGAUUAG
This 720-nucleotide ribosomal RNA is filed under the name Bacillus subtilis. RNAcentral's name for it is "bacterial SSU rRNA". It matches the Rfam family "Bacterial small subunit ribosomal RNA", at positions 77 to 781 of the family's 1533-position model. The record is from RNAcentral. Lineage: Bacteria; Bacillati; Bacillota; Bacilli; Caryophanales; Bacillaceae.